UCUGACUNGAGUGCAGAAGGGGAGAGUGGAAUUCCAUGUGUAGCGGUGAAAUGCGUAGAUAUAUGGAGGAACACCAGUGGCGAAAGCGGCUCUCUGGUCUGUCACUGACGCUGAGGCUCGAAAGCGUGGGUAGCGAACAGGAUUAGAUACCCUGGUAGUNCACGCCGUAAACGAUGAGUGCUAGGUGUUAGGCCCUUUCCGGGGCUUAGUGCCGGAGCUAACGCAAUAAGCACUCCGCCUGGGGAGUACGACCGCAAGGUUGAAACUCAAAGGAAUUGACGGGGGCCCGCACAAGCGGUGGAGCAUGUGGUUUAAUUCGAAGCAACGCGAAGAACCUUACCAGGUCUUGACAUCCCGAUGCUAUUCUUAGAGAUAGGAAGUUACUUCGGUACAUCGGAGACAGGUGGUGCAUGGUUGUCGUCAGCUCGUGUCGUGAGAUGUUGGGUUAAGUCCCNCAACGAGCGCAACCCUUAUUGUUAGUUGCCAUCAUUAAGUUGGGCACUCUAGCGAGACUGCCGGUAAUAAACCGGAGGAAGGUGGGGAUGACGUCAAAUCAUCAUGCCCCUUAUGACCUGGGCUACACACGUGCUACAAUGGUCGGUACAACGAGUUGCGAGCCGGUGACGGCAAGCUAAUCUCUGAAAGCCGAUCUCAGUUCGGAUUGGAGGCUGCAACUCGCCUCCAUGAAGUCGGAAUCGCUAGUAAUCGCGGAUCAGCACGCCGCGGUGAAUACGUUCCCGGGCCUUGUNC
This 750-nucleotide ribosomal RNA is filed under the name uncultured bacterium. Its description in RNAcentral is "bacterial SSU rRNA". It matches the Rfam family "Bacterial small subunit ribosomal RNA", at positions 636 to 1386 of the family's 1533-position model. The record is from RNAcentral.